GUCCACGCCGUAAACGAUGAGAACUAGCCGUUGGGGUCCUUGAGACCUUCGUGGCGCAGCUAACGCGAUAAGUUCUCCGCCUGGGGAGUACGGCCGCAAGGUUAAAACUCAAAUGAAUUGACGGGGGCCCGCACAAGCGGUGGAGCAUGUUGUUUAAUUCGAUGCAACGCGAAAAACCUUACCAUCCCUUGACAUCUCUGGAAGCCAAAAGAGAUUUUGGUGUGCCUUCGGGAACCAGAAGAC
RNAcentral lists this ribosomal RNA (243 nucleotides) under uncultured bacterium. Its description in RNAcentral is "partial 16S ribosomal RNA". It matches the Rfam family "Bacterial small subunit ribosomal RNA", at positions 793 to 1035 of the family's 1533-position model. The record is from RNAcentral.